Molecule: unclassified non-coding RNA, 336 nt
Filed under: soil metagenome
Description: partial contains 5.8S ribosomal RNA, internal transcribed spacer 2, and large subunit ribosomal RNA
Rfam family: 5.8S ribosomal RNA (bases 1-120)
Source: RNAcentral
GAUGAAGAACGUAGCGAAAUGCGAUAAGUAGUGUGAAUUGCAGACUUUAGUGAAUCAUCGAAUCUUUGAACGCACAUUGCGCCCCUUGGUAUUCCAUGGGGCAUGCCUGUUCGAGCGUCAUUUGUACCUUCAAGCUUUGCUUGGUGUUGGGUGUUUGUCUCGCCUUUGCGUGUAGACUCGCCUUAAAAUAAUUGGCAGCCGGCGUAUUGAUUUCGGAGCGCAGUACAUCUCGCGCUUUGCACUCAUAACGACAGCGUCCAAAAGUACAUUUUACACUCUUGACCUCGGAUCAGGUAGGGAUACCCGCUGAACUUAAGCAUAUCAAUAAGCGGAGGA